RNAcentral lists this ribosomal RNA (433 nucleotides) under uncultured bacterium. RNAcentral's name for it is "partial 16S ribosomal RNA". It matches the Rfam family "Bacterial small subunit ribosomal RNA", at positions 29 to 507 of the family's 1533-position model. The record is from RNAcentral.
AGCGAACGCUGGCGGCAGGCCUAACACAUGCAAGUCGAACGGAUCCUUCGGGAUUAGUGGCGGACGGGUGAGUAACACGUGGGAACGUGCCCUUUGGUUCGGAACAACUCAGGGAAACUUGAGCUAAUACCGGAUGUGCCCUUCGGGGGAAAGAUUUAUCGCCAUUGGAGCGGCCCGCGUCUGAUUAGCUAGUUGGUGAGGUAACGGCCCACCAAGGCGACGAUCAGUAGCUGGUCUGAGAGGAUGAUCAGCCACACUGGGACUGAGGCACGGCCCAGACUCCUACGGGAGGCAGCAGUGGGGAAUCUUGCGCAAUGGGCGAAAGCCUGACGCAGCCAUGCCGCGUGAAUGAUGAAGGCCUUAGGAUUGUAAAAUUCUUUCAGCGGGGACGAUAAUGACGGUACCCGCAGAAGAAGCUCCGGCUAACUUCGUG